Molecule: non-coding RNA, 846 nt
Organism: Chlorocebus sabaeus (green monkey)
Lineage: Eukaryota; Metazoa; Chordata; Mammalia; Primates; Cercopithecidae
Source: RefSeq, a predicted model, not a curated record
CUUCCUCCCUUCUUGGCCGGUCUGCAGAUCGCCGCCGGCCGAGGCUUAUCACCGCCGGCCGAGGCUUGCCGCCGCCGCCCAGACUGGGAGAAUGAGCCGGCGCCAGGGUCUCUGUCGCCCAGGCUGGAAUGUGAUCACGGCUACUGCAGCCUCUAUCUUCAGGGCUCAAGUGAUUUUCUCACGUCAGCCUCGCAGUAGCUGGGACCACAGACAUGAGCCACCAUGCCUGGCUUUUGUUUUGUUUUGUUUUGUUUUUUUGUAGAGAGGGGGCGGGGUGUGAGACUCUCACCUUGUUGCCCAAACGGGUCUCCUGAGUUCAAGGAUCUGCCCUCCUCAGCCUCCCAAAGCGCAGGGAUUACAGUGUGAUACCCUACCUUGUUUUAACCUGAUUGACUCUCUUUUAGCUGAGAGAGCCAGACAGACUCCAUUUUGGUUUCUUCGCUUGCAGACCCUUGGCCCCCUCCCUUAAGGACAUAACUGGUGCAAGCUGACUCCAAGCACAUCCAGGAAUGCGCUUAUUGAUAAGAUACUGAGGCAAGCUGUACCAGCAGCUCCUGGGAACGUGCUCAGUUGAUGGUACCCAAAGCCCCUGCGUUUAUCACUUUGUGAUAAUUUAAGACCCAUGCACCUGGAACUGUUUAUUUUCCUGUAACUGUUUCUGUAACCAUUUAUCUUUUAACUUUUUGCCUGUUCUGCCUCUGUAAAUAUUGCUUCAGCUAGACGCCUCCUCCCUGAUUUAGACCAAGGUAUAAAAGGAAAUCUAGCCUCUUCUUCAGGGCCAAGAGAAUUUCGAGCUCUAGCCCUCUCUCGGUCGCCGGCAAUAAAGGACUCCUGAAUUAGUCUCAA